UACGUAUGGUGCAAGCGUUAUCCGGAUUUACUGGGCGUAAAGGGAGCGCAGGCGGCGCGCCAGGUCUGAUGUGAAACCCCGGGGCUCAACCCCGGGCAUGCAUUGGAAACUGGCGGGCUGGAGUGCCGGAGAGGUAAGCGGAAUUCCUAGUGUAGCGGUGAAAUGCGUAGAUAUUAGGAGGAACACCAGUGGCGAAGGCGGCUUACUGGACGGCAACUGACGCUGAGGCUCGAAAGCGUGGGGAGCAAACAGG
Molecule: ribosomal RNA, 253 nt
Filed under: uncultured bacterium
Lineage: Bacteria
Description: partial 16S ribosomal RNA
Rfam family: Bacterial small subunit ribosomal RNA
Source: RNAcentral